GACGAACGCUGGCGGCGUGCUUAACACAUGCAAGUCGAACGGAAAGGCCCUGCUUUUGUGGGGUGCUCGAGUGGCGAAAGGGUGAGUAACACGUGAGUAACCUGCCCUUGACUUUGGGAUAACUUCAGGAAACUGGGGCUAAUACCGGAUAGGAGCUCCUGCUGCAUGGUGGGGGUUGGAAAGUUUCGGCGGGUGGGGAUGGACUCGCGGCUUAUCAGCUUGUUGGUGGGGUAGUGGCUUACCAAGGCUUUGACGGGUAGCCGGCCUGAGAGGGUGACCGGCGACAUUGGGACUGAGAUACGGCCCAGACUCCUACGGGGGGCAAUAGGGGGGAAUAUUGCACAAUGGGCGGAAGCCUGAUGCAGCAGCGCCGCGUGCGGGAAGACGGCCUUCGGGUUGUAAACCGCUUUCGCCUGUGACGAAGCGUGAGUGACGGUAAUGGGUAAAGAAGCACCGGCUAACUACGUG
RNAcentral lists this ribosomal RNA (468 nucleotides) under uncultured bacterium. RNAcentral describes it as "partial 16S ribosomal RNA". It matches the Rfam family "Bacterial small subunit ribosomal RNA", at positions 28 to 507 of the family's 1533-position model. The record is from RNAcentral.